AAUCGUUGCCUCGGCGUAGGCCGCAAGCCCUCGUGCUUGCCCUCCGUCCCCUCUGGUAGGGACAGAGGAGCAGUCCGCCGGUGGCCUACCAAACUCUUGUUUGUUAACUGUACCUUCUGAGUUAUUAACAACAAUGAAUCAAAACUUUCAACAACGGAUCUCUUGGUUCUGGCAUCGAUGAAGAACGCAGCGAAAUGCGAUAAGUAAUGUGAAUUGCAGAAUUCAGUGAACCAUCGAAUCUUUGAACGCACAUUGCGCCCGUUGGUAUUCCAGCGGGCAUGCCUGUUCGAGCGUCAUUUCAACCCUCAAAUACCUCUGUAUUUGGUGUUGGGGCAUAGCCUGGUAGCAAGGGCUAGCCCUCAAAUUCAGUGGCGUGCUCACUAAGACUCCGAGCGUAGUAAUUUGUUUUUUUUCUUCUUCUUUCUCGCUUAGGCCUAUUAGUGAUGCGUAGCCGUUAAACCCGCCAUCGCGCACCUUUUGAAAAGUUGACCUCGGAUCAGGUAGGAAUACCCGCUGAACUUAAGCAUAUCAAUAAGCGGAGGAA
RNAcentral lists this ribosomal RNA (544 nucleotides) under uncultured fungus. Its description in RNAcentral is "eukaryotic LSU rRNA". The stretch from base 143 to 296 matches the Rfam family "5.8S ribosomal RNA". The record is from RNAcentral. Lineage: Eukaryota; Fungi.